This is a long non-coding RNA of Poeciliopsis prolifica (blackstripe livebearer), 4043 nucleotides long. RefSeq lists it as uncharacterized. NCBI's taxonomy places the organism in Eukaryota, Metazoa, Chordata, Actinopteri, Cyprinodontiformes, Poeciliidae. The transcript has 6 exons. The record is from RefSeq and is a predicted model, not a curated record.
GUCAGCGUUUAAAUUAAGGCGCGUCCUGCACCUGACCCCACGAAGACAAGAAACCAGCGUUCAGAUAUCCGUCCUGGGAUUACAAAAUGAUCGAUUUGAAAUAAUCUCGGUGUUGAUGGGGCCUGCCUGCGGAGGGAUCUGGGAGAGUGGGGAGGCCGCAAGAACGCCAUGUUUGAAAUGGCUGCAUUUGUUAGUUGAGCAGCAUACGAGGAGCGACAGGAACAUGGCGUCUCUGCGGCGGAUUGUUUGGCCGGAAAAUAUGGCGUCUGGAACUAGCAGCAGAUCGAUUAUGGCUAUAUUAAGAAGAUCUUCAAUGAAGCUGAGGAUCGCUUCCGUCAAGCUGAGGAAUCGCUACAAGGUGCCUGGCGGAUCCGCCCAACCCGUCAAAGGUUUGUUAAAUCUGUCAAGAACUGUUCCAAUGGCGGGUCCAGAAGACAUCUCAGGGUAGGAGCUGUUGCGGGUUUUGCUGUGCUGUUCUUGAAGGCCAACGCUCGGCCUCUUGGUUUACUGGUUAGGUUUGAUUCUCUCAAUGAGUUGAGAAGGAUUCUGCUUUAGGGUUAUGUGUGCUGUUUGAAACAGCUGCUGUGGUCAUGUGACCUGUAGAGGUUUAUGCCAUCUGGGAUUUUGGAAAUUCAAGUUCAUAGCUGAAGUUAUUCAGCUUAGAAAACAUUGACAACAUGCCUACAUAUUAGUGAUCAUUUUUACAUACCUUUUUUUAUUUUUUGUAUCUAACAUUUGAAAUUUAAUCAAAUAUUUCAAAGAUAGGGUCCAUACUUUAAUAAUUCAAAAGUCAAACAAAUUUCAUUUACGUUCAAUAAUAUAAAUUCAAGCGUGAAAAUCGUGAUUUUAUUUUGGCUUCAAAACUUGCGGCGUUGCGAUAUUUCAUUUCUUCUGGACGACUCGUGGACUCCUGCAAUUUCAUUUCUUCUGGAGGACGAUGGUCAACAGAUCUGGAGCUGCAGGUCAGAGGUAAUGUAUUCACUAAUCCACCAUCUUGUCUUUGCAGGUUUUCAGCUGAAAUUAACUCCCAUAUUUUUCUUGCAGAGAUGAUGCACUGGAUCGCGUCUUCAAGUGUUUGCAAAUGUUUUUAACAGUUUUUUUUCCUAGAUAAAGCUUCUGGCUGACUUUGUGUUGCAUCUAACUUAUUUUUUUUCUCAUAGAUAAGCCAGUAAAGGAGUUUCUACUGAAACUAAAUCUUUAAUUUCUCCUUUAGAAAUGUUCCUGGAGCAGUUCUUUCUUUUUGUGUUUCUCUCUCUGUCCUUUCAAAUCCCCCGGGGUUAGUGACAGAUGGCCUUUCUUUCACAGCCAACUUCUGGUUCUGCUGGAGGUUUCUUCCUGUUAAAGGGAAGUUUUUCCUCCCCACUGUCACUACAUACAUCCUCAAUAUGAGGCAUUGCUUUAGUUUACUUAAUAUUUAACCAAUUAAAUAAUUGGUACAGUGUUCACAUUUUUUGAUAGUCUUCCUGUUCAAGGGAAGUUCUUCUAAAUUGUCACCACAGCUAUGCUCAAUAUGAGGCUUUGCUUAAGCUUAUGUAACCAUUAGCCAGCGCUUGAUUAUCGGUUUAUUUUUUUUUUUGAUGGUCUUCCUGUUAAAGGGAAAUUUUCCUCCACACACUCACCACAUUGAUCCUAAGUAUGAGACAUUGCCUAAGCUUUCUUGCACAACUUUAAACCAAUUCAAAUUAUUGGUACAGUCUGAACUUUUUUUUUUUUUUGAAAGUCUUCCUGUUAAAAGGAAGCUUUUCCUCUCCACGGUCACCACAUGAAUUCUCAACAAGAGGCAUUGCGUAAGAUUUCAUAACUUUUAACCGGUUUAUUUAUUUUGGAAAGUCUUCCUGUUAAAGGGAAGUUUUUCCUUUCAAUGGUCAUGACAUGCAUGUUCAGUAUUAGAUGUUUCACAAGCUUGUAUAACUUUUAACCAAUUUAAAUCUGUUCAGUGAGAUCUUUUUGGAAAGUCUUCCUGUUAAAAGGAAGUUUUUUGUUUCCACUGUCGCCACAUGGAUCCUCAAUGUGACGAAUGGCUUAAGCUUACUUACUUUACAAAACAAUCUUAAAUAACUGCUACAGUGUGAACUUAAAUGUUUUAAUUUUUUUGUGGGGAAAGUCGUCCUGUUAAAAGGAAGAUUUUCCUUUAAGCUUUCUCCAUAUAAUUCCUCAAUAUGAAGAAUGGCUUAAGCUUGCGUAACUUGAUAAGUGUUUUUUUUUUUUUUCUUUUUGUGGUAACGUCUUCCUGUUAAAGGGAAGGUUUUCCUUUCCACUGUCACCACACGCCUCCUCAGGAUGCCUGUAAUGGAGGAUAAUUUUGAGCUCAUUGUUGCAAAUAUAAGGCCUUGUUAAUACCACAUGGUAAAUGAACUGAGAAGAUGGAGGCUGAUCAGCAGUUUUUGUUGAGAUGGAGACUCUGAAGUCCAGAUGGGGUUAGGCUGGUUGGAAAUAUGGAUGUGAACAAGGCUGCUAGGGCACUGGAUUGUGAACCCAGUGCCAGGAAAUGUGGUUUGCUCCUUCCUGUAGCCACUCCUUAAGGCUUGAAGUUGUGGGAUAAGUUUAUGGACAUUGGGAGCAAACGUACAACAAAGUCAUCGGACGAGUUUAUGGGUAUUGGUAGCAAACAUGUACAGCAAAGUCAUCGGACGAGUUUAUGGGUAUUGGUAGCAAACAUGUACAGCAAAGUCAUCGGACGAGUUCAUGGACACUGGUAGCAAACGUACAACAAAGUCAUCGGACGAGUUCAUGGACACUGGUAGCAAACGUGUACAACAAAGUCAUCGGACGAGUUCAUGGACACUGGUAGCAAACGUGUACAACAAAGUCAUCGGACGAGUUCAUGGACACUGGUAGCAAACGUACAACAAAGUCAUCGGACGAGUUCAUGGACACUGGUAGCAAAUGUGUACAACAAAGUCAUCGAAUAAGUUCAUGGACACUGGUAGCAAAUGUGUACAACAAAGUCAUCAGACGAGUUCAUGGACACUGGUAGCAAAUGUGUACAACAAAGUCAUCGAAUAAGUUCAUGGACACUGGUAGCAAAUGUGUACAACAAAGUCAUCAGACGAGUUCAUGGACACUGGUAGCAAAUGUGUACAACAAAGUCAUCGGACGAGUUCAUGGACACUGGUAGCAAACGUACAACAAAGUCAUCGAAUGAGUUCAAGGAAUUUGGUAACAAAGGUAGGUAUUUUGGUCUUAGGUACAACAACCAGAACUUUCAUUUGUUCAACGCAGGUAGAAAAAACAUGGUAGGCUAUAUGAAAGUUCAAGACCAGAACGGGUCUUGAAUUCUUUGGUUUGUGAUGAAAUGUGUAACGAACCCAUAGGGAAAAGUGUUUCAGACAGGUUUCAGGGUUUGACCUGAAACCCAGGCCCGUCCUGUUCUUCAGAAAUCCUCCUGGAUUCUGAUUUCGCACUACAACCCUCCAUUGACAGACGGAAAGGUCCUUAGCCACCCCACUGAUGGAUGACGUCAGUGACUUCACCAUCACCCUCAACAGUCUUCCUCAAGUGCUGCAGGAAUCCUCUUGGAUCAUCUUAUCAUCUCUGAUUUUGCCCUUCAAUGAUCCUCCAUUGACGGAUGGAAAAGCCCUUCACAACCCUGCUGAUGGAUGACCUUAGUGACCUCUGGGAGCUUACCACGGGGCUCAGCAAGUUUUCUGGAGGAAACCCAGGAAGUGUUCUCAGGUGAACAUGAAUCUUUCUGGAUCAUCUCGUUUCAUCUCUGAUUUCACCCUUCAUCGACCCUCCAUUGACAGGCGGAAAAGGCCUUCACCAUCAUACCAUCAGGCCCAGCAGUCUUCAAGGAUCCUCCAGGAUUAUCUACUCAUCCUUCAUCGCUCCUUCAUCGGUGAUGGAUGGACUUUUUUUUGUUUUUUUUUGAGACAAUUAUGUACAGAGACUUUAUAAUUUUUUUUUAUAUUUUGGGUAUUUAAAAUGUCUUAAUGCUAUUCUGGUCUAACUCUAUAUCCUGCUGUAUGUUUGGGUUACUGGAGGUUUUCUAUUCUCUCCAUAGAAGCUACACCUGGUCCGGUGUUCUGAUUGGCUGUGGUUUC